Molecule: transfer RNA, 73 nt
Filed under: Roseivivax halodurans JCM 10272
Lineage: Bacteria; Pseudomonadati; Pseudomonadota; Alphaproteobacteria; Rhodobacterales; Roseobacteraceae
Description: tRNA-Leu
Source: RNAcentral
GGCUGUGUAGCUCAGCGGUAGAGCGGCCGCUCAAGACGGUCUGUCCGGGAGUUCGAUCCCUGCUGAGUCACCA